This 1112-nucleotide long non-coding RNA is filed under the name Sorghum bicolor (sorghum). RNAcentral's name for it is "long non-coding RNA (SBIC_LNC001224)". Lineage: Eukaryota; Viridiplantae; Streptophyta; Magnoliopsida; Poales; Poaceae. The record is from RNAcentral.
UAGUAGAACCUGUCUUUGCAUAUCGAUUGCUGAAUUUACAACAGCUGCUUUGUAAUAUUUUACACUGUAAUGGAUAUUUAUCUGCCUGCUCCAAACUCUAAAAAUAGACAUAUUUUGCUUUUGUUUUCUGUCAUUGUCUAUUUUACACUGUAAUGUAUAUUUAUCUUGUCUGAGCUCUCAGAGCUUGCAUAGCCCUUUGUCAUAUGUACUUUUAUUGAAGUAAAUUACCCAUGAUGCAUAAUACUCAUAACAUGGUUUGCGCUUUUCAGGUUCUGUUCUCGGAUAUAAAUGCUGACGAGGUAAACUAACUGAUUUCUGCAUAAGUACAAAUACUUUUACCCUUGUGUUGAGUCCUACAAUUUCUGACUCAACUUAUAUGACAAAAUAUUUUUUGGCCGUGACAGAGCCCUAUUUAGUUUAUGUUUGGAUCAAAGUACAAAUAUUCUUGAUACAGAAACCGAUUGUUAGAAUAUGUCCUCUGAUCAUCCAUCCUUUACUGAAAAUUGGCACAUCACAUAUGCAGAUAGUGUUCAUGCAAUCUGAAAUUUAGAGACAGGUCAUGUUCUAUGCAGAUAGUGUCCAUAUCUAGAUACAGAUAGCGUUCAUGCAAUCUCAUAUUCCAUUGUAUGAAUGUUUUAUAUCACUUAGUGGAAUUUUAGAGACUUAGAGUUGUUCAUUGUCUUUAGAGAAUCAAGUUAAUUAUAGGUAAUAGGCAUUUAUUUAGCAUUUUGACAGGCAUUUUGCUGGUAACAUUGUGAUAUGUACAGCUCAUGCCUUUAUUAUUGGUUAAUGUUGCAGAUUUCCCCCUAGAUACUGAUUGGAUGGUGCUCUUGUCAAGGUUUUGCAGCUAAUACUCACUAACACCCACUCGUAUUCUCUUGUCAACUUGUCGCUAAUUGGAUUUUCCUAUUGCAUUUCAGCCAUCCUGCAAGGCUUAGGCAGCAUACUUGGUGGUGUCGACAAGUUAAAACUGCUCAUCGAAGCUAUGUUCUGUUUUGGACCCAAUGAGCUUUAGGUGUUAGUGAGCUAAGCUUUUGGUUACAAAUGGUGAAUGUAUGUCUUUUGGUCACAUGAGGUAGAGAUAUGGAUGUCGAUGGCUUGCUUAUGCUCUG